AGCACGCUUCCGCUGCUAUCUUUGUUAAUGUUGCUAGUAAAGUUACAGUGUGGUGAAUAUGAUCAACGGAUGGAUACAGUUUACGCUAGGUGGCGUACGCUAACCGCUAUAAUGCUUGUUUUUCAUCAUAUGUUGGAGAAGAGCUUUGAGCAUGAGUCCACAGAUGGAUGAGGUGCUGCAGGAAAGAAUAAAUCGUAAAAAGCACUCUGAAGCUGGAGGCAAACCAUGAGAACCAUCUGUAUCAGAAACUCAGGAGGUGCACAGAAAAGAUGUGGUCCACGGCAAAGAGCUGUCCAUGGCCAAGCCCACAUCUACAUUCACGACCUGAUCCACCCUUACAGGACAAACUGGGCCCUGGGGUCCUCUGAGCAAGGCCUUUUAAGGGUGCCACGGACCAGGCUAAAAACUAAGGGGAUCGUGUCUUUGAGGUGUUGGCUCCAUGGCUUUGGAAUGAAUUUCCUCAGGGCGUGAGAGCCGCUGUCUCAGUGGAAAUG
Long non-coding RNA from Eleginops maclovinus (Patagonian blennie), 494 nucleotides. RefSeq lists it as uncharacterized. NCBI's taxonomy places the organism in Eukaryota, Metazoa, Chordata, Actinopteri, Perciformes, Eleginopidae. The record is from RefSeq and is a predicted model, not a curated record. The transcript has 4 exons.